AAUAGAUACCCUCGGUAGUCCAUGCCGUAAACGUUGGGCACUAGGUGUGGGGCUCAUUCCACGAGUUCCGUGCCGCAGCAAACGCAUUAAGUGCCCCGCCUGGGGAGUACGGCCGCAAGGCUAAAACUCAAAGGAAUUGACGGGGGCCCGCACAAGCGGCGGAGCAUGCGGAUUAAUUCGAUGCAACGCGAAGAACCUUACCAAGGCUUGACAUGCACGGGAAGCCACCAGAGAUGGUGGUCUCUUUGGACACUCGUGCACAGGUGGUGCAUGGUUGUCGUCAGCUCGUGUCGUGAGAUGUUGGGUUAAGUCCCGCAACGAGCGCAACCCUGUCCCAUGUUGCCAGCGGGUUAUGCCGGGGACUCAUGGGAGACUGCCGGGGUCAACUCGGAGGAAGGUGGGGAUGACGUCAAAUCAUCAUGCCCCUUAUGUCUUGGGCUUCACGCAUGCUACAAUGGCCGGUACAAAGGGCUGCGAUACCGUAAGGUGGAGCGAAUCCCAAAAAGCCGGUCUCAGUUCGGAUUGGGG
Molecule: ribosomal RNA, 528 nt
Filed under: uncultured bacterium
Lineage: Bacteria
Description: bacterial SSU rRNA
Rfam family: Bacterial small subunit ribosomal RNA
Source: RNAcentral